Molecule: non-coding RNA, 2634 nt
Organism: Rattus norvegicus (Norway rat)
Lineage: Eukaryota; Metazoa; Chordata; Mammalia; Rodentia; Muridae
Source: RefSeq, a predicted model, not a curated record
UAAAUAUAGGAAAAUGUACUAUUGUAUUUCUCAACCACUGUGUCCAGCUAUAGUAAAGUACUGUGAUAAUUCAAGUGUCAUUUCAGAUCUGCGGAGUGAGAUACAAAAUGAAGACAGAAAAUAGUACCCUGAAGUCACCUAGGAAAAAUGUUUCCAGAAAUUUUUGAAAAAUCAUGGAACACAUGGUCUAAUAACAGGACAGGAUAUUGGCAAUCAGAGCUGCUCUGGAAAUCAGGACCACCACCCCCCUUGGAAAUCUGAAACACAUGGCCCCAGUAAUUAAGGGCAUGGAACUUUACCCUGAGACCACAAGUGUCCCCUGCUGCCCUCAGUCAUGAUGUGGACGGAAGACAAGAUGGGGAGAUCAGGACAAAGAGCAACAUACUCCUGGGCCCCUCCCUCUUCCAGCUCAUGUGAUUUACACACAUUCAUACACCCAAGUUCAGUAAUAAAAACUACAUGCCUACCAACCUGAUUUGAAUCACCCAUUCCUUUUAAAGGGAGAUUUUCCCCCACUCUUUUGAAAUAGCAUGAAAUAUAAACUGAACAGUCUAAAAUGUCCACUCCCACCUUCCUUAUACAUUUGCCAGAAGCCAAUCUGGCCAUUUAUUUUUUCAAGGAAUCCAUUUGCAUCUCUUUACCAUCAUAUUUCAAACUGGAGUGAGAAAUGGCUCAGGGACUUGGAGACGGCCUCAUUUUGGGUCCUAAACCUGUCUGUUUCUCUUCACCAUCCCGGAAUGAUCACAAGGUCUUCUGAUAGAAGAUGAGAGUGGAAAUCAGGUUUCUUGGCAAUCACUUGACUCAAUGUGUUUGAAUCUCCUGCUGACCAAAUGUUUUGCAGAUGCUUCAUCUACAACAUGCAUAUGUGUGUGCUGGGGAGGGAGAGGAGAGACGGCUGAACCAGUCAGGGCUGGAAGGAUUUGUGUUGGGAAUACCAGUGAGAUACCUCCUGUCUCUUCCAUUGCAGUAGUCCAUUGAGGAGUUUACUUUCUUAUAGUUCAUCUUGGCAGUGGCUCCCUUUGAGGUUCAAAAAGCUGAGGGAGGCUUGCUUUUCCACACAAAUCACUGCUUAAGCAAAGGUGAAAAUCUCAACAUCAAAACUGUAACAAAAAUCGAGCCUGUGUUGUUUUCGUUAAAACGAGUAAGACACUGUCAAAUAAAAACUGCCCUAAGCAAUUAUACAUUUUCCUCUCCUUUAUUUUAUGAGUCUAUGAAUCUUUUAUACAACCAUCUAGCAGUGUGUGUGUGUAUGUGUGCAGGUAUGUGUGUAUGUGUAUUUAUAUGUGUGUGUGUGCGCGUGCGCGUGCGAGGGCAUUUGUAUGCAAUGGGAAGGUGUAAGGCAUGAACAGGUGACAAAUAGGAGAGCUGCUCAUUGGUACUAGAAAAUUACUAAGUAUAAAACUUAAGUGAAAAUCAAUAACUUCUGUCAAUCCCUAAGACUCCUUCAUGAUGUCCUGAAGAUGUCUGUCCCAUAGUCCCUGUGUGAUCUUGUUUCUUACCCGUACAGACUAACUCCACACCAGGCUUCCUUCUAGCAGGCACCACGAGUAGUCUUGAUAAUUAUAGGUAUUUAUGGGUGGUCAGUCUCUCACCUUUUGAAUUAAACAGAAGGGUUUCCCUCUCCGUGGAUUAUAUGCAUCUCCAGUGUUACUUGGUUUCAGUGAGAAGCAUAUGGCAUGAAGAAUUCUUACACAUUGUGUAUGUCCUCUAUCAUGACUCAGUGGGUAGUAAGUAGCUAUAGUCUUUACAAUUCACACACUCAGAUAACAAUACUAACUCAAAAAUAGAUUUCUAUGACUCACUUUAAUUUCUACUUACAGAGAAUGCCUUCUGUUUGCAUGCAGGUAAAGUCAAUUCAACUAAUGUUUUGUUAAUCUGUGUUACACACUCAGUCAGUGAUCUGCUAGGUUCAAGUCUAUGUCCCUACCCAACCCUAGAGAUCGUCUACAUUUGUAGGUGAAUUUGCAGUAAUUGGCCAAUUAGGAGAGCCAACUCUUAAAAGAUUCUGUUAAAAUCUUUCAUGUAUUUGUUCAUGCUUCACAAUAGCCAGGAAGGAAGAAUCAUUUUUUGCGGAGCUAAUUCAAGACUCAACCUGGGUUGGAACCUGAGCACUUUGGGUCACACUCUGCUGACUCCCCAAUAUGAGUCUCAGGGAUCUGAUUUAGAAAUGAAUAGAACAGAAAAUGCUCCUUCUUUGUAUGCAUAGUGGGCAAUCAUAUCAGCCACUGUUAAAUAAAAAGGAAGAACAGAUAGAGCAAGAAGAUUAGAAAGGGAAGAAAGAGCACCACAACAACAGCAGUGGCAGCAACAACAACAACAGCAGCAGCAGCAACAGCAGCAACAACAACAACUCAGAAACUGUUCUGAGAAUAAAUUCAAAGUCUCCUCCCUGAAUCUCCUGGCGCAUUCUACACAUGGAUCGUGAACCAUCAUCUAACAGGGUUUUGCUUGUAGAAAACAUAUAGGGGUGCAAAUUCAUGCAGAUUCAAUUAGUGCUUUGUGUGUAUGCAUGCUUGCAGGGGCUUGUGGAUAUAUGUGCAUAUGUGUGAAGAGGCCAGAGGACAACCACACUGUCUUUUUUUCCUUUUCUUUCUAAUUUAUUUAUUUAUUUAUUUAUUUAUUUAUUUAUUUAUU